UUGAAAGGGAAACGAUUGAAGUCAGUCGUACCGGCGGGUAAUCAGCUUUGGGUGUGAUUAUGUGGAGCGUGAGGGAGUAAACACCCUCAUCUUUGCAUAUUCGUGCACUUGGGUGGACUUGCUCGUGUUGUAGGUUUACAUCAAUUUUGAUCCGCAUAAAAUGGAUGGAAGAAUGUAGCUUCGGUCUCGUUAUGAAAGUGUAUAGCCUCCGUAGAUGUGAUGAUUGGGAUUGAGGAUUGCAACGGAAUCCUUCGGGGCUACCUGCCUGAUCUCUGAAAGUUGCUCUGGUGCUGAAAGCUUGCUUAUGGUAUCAAAGUUGACGUUCAACAGGUUAGAACGGGAUAAAUUCGUUAAGGAUGUUGACGUA
Molecule: ribosomal RNA, 367 nt
Filed under: uncultured Glomeromycotina
Lineage: Eukaryota; Fungi; Glomeromycota
Description: LSU rRNA
Source: RNAcentral